RNAcentral lists this ribosomal RNA (2903 nucleotides) under Shigella flexneri. RNAcentral's name for it is "23S ribosomal RNA". It matches the Rfam family "Bacterial large subunit ribosomal RNA". Lineage: Bacteria; Pseudomonadati; Pseudomonadota; Gammaproteobacteria; Enterobacterales; Enterobacteriaceae. The record is from RNAcentral.
GGUUAAGCGACUAAGCGUACACGGUGGAUGCCCUGGCAGUCAGAGGCGAUGAAGGACGUGCUAAUCUGCGAUAAGCGUCGGUAAGGUGAUAUGAACCGUUAUAACCGGCGAUUUCCGAAUGGGGAAACCCAGUGUGAUUCGUCACACUAUCAUUAACUGAAUCCAUAGGUUAAUGAGGCGAACCGGGGGAACUGAAACAUCUAAGUACCCCGAGGAAAAGAAAUCAACCGAGAUUCCCCCAGUAGCGGCGAGCGAACGGGGAGCAGCCCAGAGCCUGAAUCAGUGUGUGUGUUAGUGGAAGCGUCUGGAAAGGCGCGCGAUACAGGGUGACAGCCCCGUACACAAAAAUGCACAUGCUGUGAGCUCGAUGAGUAGGGCGGGACACGUGGUAUCCUGUCUGAAUAUGGGGGGACCAUCCUCCAAGGCUAAAUACUCCUGACUGACCGAUAGUGAACCAGUACCGUGAGGGAAAGGCGAAAAGAACCCCGGCGAGGGGAGUGAAAAAGAACCUGAAACCGUGUACGUACAAGCAGUGGGAGCCUCUUUAUGGGGUGACUGCGUACCUUUUGUAUAAUGGGUCAGCGACUUAUAUUCUGUAGCAAGGUUAACCGAAUAGGGGAGCCGAAGGGAAACCGAGUCUUAACUGGGCGUUAAGUUGCAGGGUAUAGACCCGAAACCCGGUGAUCUAGCCAUGGGCAGGUUGAAGGUUGGGUAACACUAACUGGAGGACCGAACCGACUAAUGUUGAAAAAUUAGCGGAUGACUUGUGGCUGGGGGUGAAAGGCCAAUCAAACCGGGAGAUAGCUGGUUCUCCCCGAAAGCUAUUUAGGUAGCGCCUCGUGAAUUCAUCUCCGGGGGUAGAGCACUGUUUCGGCAAGGGGGUCAUCCCGACUUACCAACCCGAUGCAAACUGCGAAUACCGGAGAAUGUUAUCACGGGAGACACACGGCGGGUGCUAACGUCCGUCGUGAAGAGGGAAACAACCCAGACCGCCAGCUAAGGUCCCAAAGUCAUGGUUAAGUGGGAAACGAUGUGGGAAGGCCCAGACAGCCAGGAUGUUGGCUUAGAAGCAGCCAUCAUUUAAAGAAAGCGUAAUAGCUCACUGGUCGAGUCGGCCUGCGCGGAAGAUGUAACGGGGCUAAACCAUGCACCGAAGCUGCGGCAGCGACGCUUAUGCGUUGUUGGGUAGGGGAGCGUUCUGUAAGCCUGUGAAGGUGUACUGUGAGGUAUGCUGGAGGUAUCAGAAGUGCGAAUGCUGACAUAAGUAACGAUAAAGCGGGUGAAAAGCCCGCUCGCCGGAAGACCAAGGGUUCCUGUCCAACGUUAAUCGGGGCAGGGUGAGUCGACCCCUAAGGCGAGGCCGAAAGGCGUAGUCGAUGGGAAACAGGUUAAUAUUCCUGUACUUGGUGUUACUGCGAAGGGGGGACGGAGAAGGCUAUGUUGGCCGGGCGACGGUUGUCCCGGUUUAAGCGUGUAGGCUGGUUUUCCAGGCAAAUCCGGAAAAUCAAGGCUGAGGCGUGAUGACGAGGCACUACGGUGCUGAAGCAACAAAUGCCCUGCUUCCAGGAAAAGCCUCUAAGCAUCAGGUAACAUCAAAUCGUACCCCAAACCGACACAGGUGGUCAGGUAGAGAAUACCAAGGCGCUUGAGAGAACUCGGGUGAAGGAACUAGGCAAAAUGGUGCCGUAACUUCGGGAGAAGGCACGCUGAUAUGUAGGUGAAGCGACUUGCUCGUGGAGCUGAAAUCAGUCGAAGAUACCAGCUGGCUGCAACUGUUUAUUAAAAACACAGCACUGUGCAAACACGAAAGUGGACGUAUACGGUGUGACGCCUGCCCGGUGCCGGAAGGUUAAUUGAUGGGGUCAGCGCAAGCGAAGCUCUUGAUCGAAGCCCCGGUAAACGGCGGCCGUAACUAUAACGGUCCUAAGGUAGCGAAAUUCCUUGUCGGGUAAGUUCCGACCUGCACGAAUGGCGUAAUGAUGGCCAGGCUGUCUCCACCCGAGACUCAGUGAAAUUGAACUCGCUGUGAAGAUGCAGUGUACCCGCGGCAAGACGGAAAGACCCCGUGAACCUUUACUAUAGCUUGACACUGAACAUUGAGCCUUGAUGUGUAGGAUAGGUGGGAGGCUUUGAAGUGUGGACGCCAGUCUGCAUGGAGCCGACCUUGAAAUACCACCCUUUAAUGUUUGAUGUUCUAACGUGGACCCGUAAUCCGGGUUGCGGACAGUGUCUGGUGGGUAGUUUGACUGGGGCGGUCUCCUCCUAAAGAGUAACGGAGGAGCACGAAGGUUGGCUAAUCCUGGUCGGACAUCAGGAGGUUAGUGCAAUGGCAUAAGCCAGCUUGACUGCGAGCGUGACGGCGCGAGCAGGUGCGAAAGCAGGUCAUAGUGAUCCGGUGGUUCUGAAUGGAAGGGCCAUCGCUCAACGGAUAAAAGGUACUCCGGGGAUAACAGGCUGAUACCGCCCAAGAGUUCAUAUCGACGGCGGUGUUUGGCACCUCGAUGUCGGCUCAUCACAUCCUGGGGCUGAAGUAGGUCCCAAGGGUAUGGCUGUUCGCCAUUUAAAGUGGUACGCGAGCUGGGUUUAGAACGUCGUGAGACAGUUCGGUCCCUAUCUGCCGUGGGCGCUGGAGAACUGAGGGGGGCUGCUCCUAGUACGAGAGGACCGGAGUGGACGCAUCACUGGUGUUCGGGUUGUCAUGCCAAUGGCACUGCCCGGUAGCUAAAUGCGGAAGAGAUAAGUGCUGAAAGCAUCUAAGCACGAAACUUGCCCCGAGAUGAGUUCUCCCUGACUCCUUGAGAGUCCUGAAGGAACGUUGAAGACGACGACGUUGAUAGGCCGGGUGUGUAAGCGCAGCGAUGCGUUGAGCUAACCGGUACUAAUGAACCGUGAGGCUUAACCUU